RNAcentral lists this transfer RNA (85 nucleotides) under Kiritimatiellaceae bacterium TMED266. Its description in RNAcentral is "tRNA-Tyr". It matches the Rfam family "tRNA". From Rfam's summary of the family: Transfer RNA (tRNA) molecules are approximately 80 nucleotides in length. Their secondary structure includes four short double-helical elements and three loops (D, anti-codon, and T loops). RNAcentral also lists the same sequence under 2 other names. The record is from RNAcentral. Lineage: Bacteria; Pseudomonadati; Kiritimatiellota; Kiritimatiellia; Kiritimatiellales; Kiritimatiellaceae.
GGUGGGAUAGCGAAGUGGUUAAACGCAGCAGACUGUAAAUCUGCCCUCUCUGAGUUCGAAGGUUCGAAUCCUUCUCCCACCACCA